Molecule: long non-coding RNA, 594 nt
Organism: Acipenser ruthenus (sterlet)
Lineage: Eukaryota; Metazoa; Chordata; Actinopteri; Acipenseriformes; Acipenseridae
Exons: 4
Source: RefSeq, a predicted model, not a curated record
GAAGCCUGCGAGAGGGGAGCGACCGUCAGUUAGCAAAUCAGAGAGCAAGCCUGUGAUUGCACUAACGAGCGGAGGGGAGGAUACAGUCAUUAAUAAAGAGGCUGUGGAGGGUUGGAAAUAAGACUCCUGUUGCACAGCAGUUUCACCCAUUCCAGGUUUUACUACGAACUUGAUUAGCCCCAGUGUACAGGUAACAAGCUCAGGCAGGUGUCUCUGCAGCAGCGACGCUGUUCAACUCGGACUGACCUCUUGUCUGUGGUGACCCCAGGAGUGACCCCCACGGACAGGGAGGCGAGCGCAGUGACCGUGUCCGUCUCCUCCUGGUCGUGUUUCUGAGCCUCCAGGACCGAGUAUCCCGCCGUGGGGCCGAAGCGCUGGACAGACUUCCAGUAUUUACCUGCAAGACAGAACAGGACAACGUCAACCCCCGCAGCCCCUCUCCCUGAACCAGACAGCAGUAACUAAAAUCCUUGCAGCUUUUUAUUUUAUUAAAGUGUGGAACCCGGCUCAGUGCCAGCGAGCCUUUUGAAGAUGACUGUCAACACUGCUGCUCCCCCUUCCACACGGAAUUACACUCUCCCCCCCCCCCCCCCC